Onychostoma macrolepis is the source of this 1071-nucleotide long non-coding RNA. RefSeq lists it as uncharacterized. Lineage: Eukaryota; Metazoa; Chordata; Actinopteri; Cypriniformes; Cyprinidae. The transcript has 6 exons. The record is from RefSeq and is a predicted model, not a curated record.
GGAGUUUCCAUGGAAACGGUGCGCGACACUGUAACUGACGAACAGUAAAUCUCCGUCUAUCGCUGAGGUUUUCACUGCUUUCAGACAUGUUUUACAGUCUUCGAAAAAGUCCGCUAGCAUCUGUUUUCAGACGAGGAGUGAUAAUAUAAUCUUUCUACAAAGGAAGAGAAGCUCCAAGAUUUCACAAUUUCUGAAGGGAGCUGCUGACAGAAAUGCAGAAAACAGAUUAUGAUGGCCGUGCAGCAGAGGAGCGCAGAGUCUCCUGUCGGACAACAUCUCUAAGUCGCUAUGAACCAUGUGGCUAGAUCCUAUGUACCCAGCCUCAACCAUUCAUCAGAAGGACUGUGAAAGCGGGAACUCUUUGAACCAGCAGUGGCAGUUUCCACGGGAUGAAAAAGGGCAUAGUAGUGGAUGAUGAGGUCCUGAGACCAUAUGGGGUGAGGAUCAAGACAACCAAACCAAAGGUGGACUGUAGACUUCAUACUGACAAGUACUGCCAUGUAUGCAGCAUGAGAAGUUUUUGAAAAGAGGGGCAUUUCCUUCACAAGUGUGGAGGAUUCAUCUGGCCUUCAUCGGCCCCUAUGAGGUGACUCGAUGUAGAAUAAAUCAGCUUGCUUUAGGCCUGAAAUGAAUGAAAUCUUCUCAUGUGAGUUGAUAUCAUUUUAAAGAUUCUUAAAAGUACUUCUCAUUUCUUGUGAAUGUAUUUUGUAGUAUGUGUAAAACUUUUCCAAUGAAAGAACCUUUUUUACCUUUAUUGAUAUUGUAAUCAAGGCUGUUAAUGCGACCUUGAUGCACCCGAUGGACUGCACACAUCUGCUUGUGUUGGGCUUGUGUUUACAGGUUGUAUAAAACUAGGCCUGGCUGCAACAACUAAUCGAUAAUGAAAAUAAUCAUCAACGAAUUUGAAUAGUGCAUCAAAACAAACAGACCACUCAUAAUUCUGACUAAAAUACAGAUUUUGCUCAAAUAUUUUUUGUUAUAAAUUAAGUGUAGGUUUAAAACCCUACAUGUAACACAAGUAAUCAUAUUCAUGAGAGCAGUAACAGUAAAGGCACUAUUGUUGGAAUUGUC